GUAAGUUAUCUUUCAAUUUCCCUAUCAGGGUGCUACAAGUUGGAUUAUAAUGAUUUAUUUUUUCCUUGAAACAGAAGUGUUUUAAUCCUUUCUCCUGAAGACUUUCCAACUGACCUUGACAGUAUAAGAUGGCCCAAAAUUUGACCUCAACUGAGCAGGAGAUAAUGGAGCUCUUAAUGAUAUUACAAGAGUUCUCCGUGAAAAAGAUAGACAAACUGGAUGUCCAGGAAGUAAAAAGGCUCUUUAGAGAGGAACUUCCAAAUUUUCUAAAG
Molecule: long non-coding RNA, 272 nt
Filed under: Rattus norvegicus (Norway rat)
Lineage: Eukaryota; Metazoa; Chordata; Mammalia; Rodentia; Muridae
Description: long non-coding RNA NONRATT016640
Source: RNAcentral